UACGUAGGGUGCGAGCGUUGUCCGGAAUUAUUGGGCGUAAAGAGCUUGUAGGCGGUUUGUCGCGUCUGCCGUGAAAAUCCGGGGCUCAACCCCGGACUUGCGGUGGGUACGGGCAGACUAGAGUGUGGUAGGGGAGACUGGAAUUCCUGGUGUAGCGGUGAAAUGCGUAGAUAUCCGGAGGAACACCGGUGGCGAAGGCGGCAUCCUGGACCGAUAUUGACGCUGAGGAGCGAAAGCCAGGGGAGCAAACGGG
This 253-nucleotide ribosomal RNA is filed under the name uncultured bacterium. Its description in RNAcentral is "partial 16S ribosomal RNA". It matches the Rfam family "Bacterial small subunit ribosomal RNA", at positions 524 to 776 of the family's 1533-position model. The record is from RNAcentral.